CCAGCAGCCGCGGUAAUACGGAGGGUGCAAGCGUUAAUCGGAAUUCUGGGGCGUAAAGCGCACGCAGGCGGUUUGUUAAGUCAGAUGUGAAAUCCCCGGGCCCUAUUUGGGAACUGCAUCUGAUACUGGCAAGCUUGAGUCUCGCUUAGGGGGGUAGAAUUCCACGGUGUAGCGGUGAAAUGCGUAGAGAUCUGGAGGAAUACCGGUGGCGAAGGCGGCCCCCUGGACGAAGACUGACGCUCAGGUGCGAAAGCGUGGGGAGCAAACAGGAUUAAUAACCCUGGUAAACUCU
This 292-nucleotide ribosomal RNA is filed under the name Escherichia marmotae. Its description in RNAcentral is "partial 16S ribosomal RNA". It matches the Rfam family "Bacterial small subunit ribosomal RNA", at positions 508 to 797 of the family's 1533-position model. Lineage: Bacteria; Pseudomonadati; Pseudomonadota; Gammaproteobacteria; Enterobacterales; Enterobacteriaceae. The record is from RNAcentral.